This 274-nucleotide ribosomal RNA is filed under the name uncultured bacterium. Its description in RNAcentral is "partial 16S ribosomal RNA". It matches the Rfam family "Archaeal small subunit ribosomal RNA", at positions 473 to 747 of the family's 1478-position model. The record is from RNAcentral.
AAACCAGCACCUCAAGUGGUCAGGAUGAUUAUUGGGCCUAAAGCAUCCGUAGCCUGCUCUGUAAGUUUUCGGUUAAAUCUGUACGCUCAACGUACAGGCUGCUGGGAAUACUGCAGAGCUAGGGAGUGGGAGAGGUAGACGGUACUCGGGAGGAAGUGGUAAAAUGCUUUGAUCUCUCGAUGACCACCUGUGGCGAAGGCGGUCUACCAGAACACGUCCGACGGUGAGGGAUGAAAGCUGGGGGAGCAAACCGGAUUAGAAACCCGAGUAGUCC